RNAcentral lists this ribosomal RNA (448 nucleotides) under uncultured bacterium. RNAcentral's name for it is "bacterial SSU rRNA". It matches the Rfam family "Bacterial small subunit ribosomal RNA", at positions 355 to 796 of the family's 1533-position model. The record is from RNAcentral.
UAGGGAAUCUUCCGCAAUGGACGCAAGUCUGACGGAGCAACGCCGCGUGAGUGAUGAAGGUUUUCGGAUCGUAAAGCUCUGUUGCCAGGGAAGAACGCCUUAGAGAGUAACUGCUCUAAGGGUGACGGUACCUGAGAAGAAAGCCCCGGCUAACUACGUGCCAGCAGCCGCGGUAAUACGUAGGGGGCAAGCGUUGUCCGGAAUUAUUGGGCGUAAAGCGCGCGCAGGCGGUUAUUUAAGUUUGGUGUUUAAGCCCGGGGCUCAACCCCGGAUCGCACUGAAAACUGGAUGACUUGAGUGCGGGAGAGGAAAGUGGAAUUCCACGUGUAGCGGUGAAAUGCGUAGAGAUGUGGAGGAACACCAGUGGCGAAGGCGACUUUCUGGACCGUAACUGACGCUGAGGCGCGAAAGCGUGGGGAGCAAACAGGAUUAGAUACCCCGGUAGUCC